AUGAAGAACGUAGCGAAAUGCGAUACUUGGUGUGAAUUGCAGAAUCCCGUGAACCAUCGAGUCUUUGAACGCAAGUUGCGCCUGAAGCCACUAGGCCGAAGGCACGUCUGCCUGGGCGUCACG
Molecule: ribosomal RNA, 123 nt
Filed under: Lobostemon trigonus
Lineage: Eukaryota; Viridiplantae; Streptophyta; Magnoliopsida; Boraginales; Boraginaceae
Description: 5.8S ribosomal RNA
Rfam family: 5.8S ribosomal RNA
About the family: 5.8S ribosomal RNA (5.8S rRNA) is a component of the large subunit of the eukaryotic ribosome. It is transcribed by RNA polymerase I as part of the 45S precursor that also contains 18S and 28S rRNA. Functionally, it is thought that 5.8S rRNA may be involved in ribosome translocation.
Source: RNAcentral